AGUCACUGACAUUAGAUACCCGGGUAGUCCAGGGUGUAAACGCUGCAGACUUGGUGUUGGAAGUCCUUUGGGGGCAUUCAGUGCCGGAGAGAAGUUGUUAAGUCUGCUACUUGGGGAGUACGUCCGCAAGGAUGAAACUUAAAGGAAUUGGCGGGGAGCACCACAACGGGUGGAGCCUGCGGUUUAAUUGGACUCAACGCCGGAAAUCUCACCGGAUAGGACAGACAUAUGAUAGUCGGGCUGAAGACUCUACUUGAUGAUCCG
RNAcentral lists this ribosomal RNA (264 nucleotides) under uncultured archaeon. Its description in RNAcentral is "partial 16S ribosomal RNA". It matches the Rfam family "Archaeal small subunit ribosomal RNA", at positions 719 to 982 of the family's 1478-position model. The record is from RNAcentral.